UACAGAGGGUGCAAGCGUUGUUCGGAAUUAUUGGGCGUAAAGGGUGCGUAGGUGGGUUGGUAAGUCAGUGGUGAAAUACUUUCGCUUAACGAAGGAACUGCCAUUGAUACUACCAGUCUUGAAUACAGUGGAGGUAGGCGGAAUGCGUCAUGUAGCGGUGAAAUGCUUAGAUAUGACGCAGAACACCAAUUGCGAAGGCAGCUUGCUACACUGUUAUUGACACUGAGGCACGAAAGCGUGGGGAUCAAACAGG
Molecule: ribosomal RNA, 253 nt
Filed under: uncultured bacterium
Lineage: Bacteria
Description: partial 16S ribosomal RNA
Rfam family: Bacterial small subunit ribosomal RNA
Source: RNAcentral